GGCAGAUGAUGGUAUAUUCUCACGAUGGUCUUCGGAUGCCACAGUGCCGAUAAUGCCAAAGGCUGAGCUGAUGCCAGGAG
This is a small nucleolar RNA of Rattus norvegicus (Norway rat), 80 nucleotides long. Ensembl annotates it as small nucleolar RNA, C/D box 35A. Its record names the gene Snord35a. NCBI's taxonomy places the organism in Eukaryota, Metazoa, Chordata, Mammalia, Rodentia, Muridae. The record is from Ensembl.